AUUGAACGCUGGCGGCAGGCCUAACACAUGCAAGUCGAGCGGAUGAAGGGAGCUUGCUCCUGGAUUCAGCGGCGGACGGGUGAGUAAUGCCUAGGAAUCUGCCUGGUAGUGGGGGAUAACGUCCGGAAACGGGCGCUAAUACCGCAUACGUCCUGAGGGAGAAAGUGGGGGAUCUUCGGACCUCACGCUAUCAGAUGAGCCUAGGUCGGAUUAGCUAGUUGGUGGAGUAAAGGCCUACCAAGGCGACGAUCCGUAACUGGUCUGAGAGGAUGAUCAGUCACACUGGAACUGAGACACGGUCCAGACUCCUACGGGAGGCAGCAGUGGGGAAUAUUGGACAAUGGGCGAAAGCCUGAUCCAGCCAUGCCGCGUGUGUGAAGAAGGUCUUCGGAUUGUAAAGCACUUUAAGUUGGGGGGAAGGGCAGUAAGUUAAUACCUUGCUGUUUUGACGUUACCAACAGAAUAAGCACCGGCUAACUUCGUG
Molecule: ribosomal RNA, 484 nt
Filed under: uncultured bacterium
Lineage: Bacteria
Description: partial 16S ribosomal RNA
Rfam family: Bacterial small subunit ribosomal RNA
Source: RNAcentral